RNAcentral lists this transfer RNA (37 nucleotides) under Anathallis acuminata. RNAcentral describes it as "partial tRNA-His". Lineage: Eukaryota; Viridiplantae; Streptophyta; Magnoliopsida; Asparagales; Orchidaceae. The record is from RNAcentral.
GCGGAUGUAGCCAGUGGAUCAAGGCAGUGGAUUGUGA